Molecule: ribosomal RNA, 431 nt
Filed under: uncultured bacterium
Lineage: Bacteria
Description: bacterial SSU rRNA
Rfam family: Bacterial small subunit ribosomal RNA
Source: RNAcentral
GUGGGGAAUCUUCCGCAAUGGGCGAAAGCCUGACGGAGCAAUGCCGCGUGAGUGAAGAAGGCCUUCGGGUUGUAAAACUCUGUCCUUAUCGAAGAGAGGUGGGUAUGUGAAUAAUGUACCUAUAGGACGGUAGAUAAGGAGGAAGCCCCGGCUAACUACGUGCCAGCAGCCGCGGUAAUACGUAGGGGGCGAGCGUUGUCCGGAAUCACUGGGCGUAAAGGGCGCGUAGGCGGUUUAAUAAGUCAGUGGUGAAAACUGAGGGCUCAACCCUCAGCCUGCCACUGAUACUGUUAGACUUGAGUAUGGAAGAGGAGAAUGGAAUUCCUAGUGUAGCGGUGAAAUGCGUAGAUAUUAGGAGGAACACCAGUGGCGAAGGCGAUUCUCUGGGCCAAGACUGACGCUGAGGCGCGAAAGCGUGGGGAGCAAACAGG